UGAGUUUGAUCAUGGCUCAGAUUGAACGCUGGCGGCAGGCCUAACACAUGCAAGUCGAGCGGUAGCAGGACUAGCUUGCUAGUUGCUGACGAGCGGCGGACGGGUGCGUAACACGUAGGAAUCUGCCCGGUAGUGGGGGAUAGCCCGGAGAAAUCCGGAUUAAUACCGCAUACGCCUUACGAGGGAAAGGAGGGGCCUCUUCGGAGCCUUUCGCUAUCGGAUGAGCCUGCGUCGGAUUAGCUAGUUGGUGGGGUAAAGGCCUACCAAGGCGACGAUCCGUAGCUGGUCUGAGAGGAUGAUCAGCCACACUGGGACUGAGACACGGCCCAGACUCCUACGGGAGGCAGCAGUGGGGAAUAUUGCACAAUGGGGGAAACCCUGAUGCAGCCAUGCCGCGUGUGUGAAGAAGGCUCUAGGGUUGUAAAGCACUUUCAGCGAGGAGGAAAGGUUGCUGGUUAAUACCCAGCGGCUGUGACGUUACUCGCAGAAGAAGCACCGGCUAACUCCGUGCCAGCAGCCGCGGUAAUACGGAGGGUGCGAGCGUUAAUCGGAAUUACUGGGCGUAAAGCGUGCGUAGGCGGCCAUGUAAGUUGGAUGUGAAAGCCCCGGGCUC
This 613-nucleotide ribosomal RNA is filed under the name uncultured Gammaproteobacteria bacterium. Its description in RNAcentral is "bacterial SSU rRNA". It matches the Rfam family "Bacterial small subunit ribosomal RNA", at positions 1 to 610 of the family's 1533-position model. Lineage: Bacteria; Pseudomonadati; Pseudomonadota; Gammaproteobacteria. The record is from RNAcentral.